GAUGAACGCUAGCGGCAGGCUUAAUACAUGCAAGUCGAGGGGCAGCGCGGGUAGCAAUACCUGGCGGCGACCGGCAAACGGGUGCGGAACACGUACACAACCUUCCCUUGAGGCGGGGGAUAGCCCAGAGAAAUUUGGAUUAAUACCCCAUAAGAUAUUGUCCCGGCAUCGGGAAGAUAUUAAAGAUUUAUCACCUUAGGAUGGGUGUGCGUAUGAUUAGGUAGUUGGUGCGGGUAACGGCCCACCAAGCCAUCGAUCAUUAACUGGUGUGAGAGCACGACCAGUCACACGGGCACUGAGACACGGGCCCGACUCCUACGGGAGGCAGCAGUAAGGAAUAUUGGUCAAUGGACGGAAGUCUGAACCAGCCAUGCCGCGUGAAGGAUGACGGCCCUCUGGGUUGUAAACUUCUUUUAUCUGGGACGAAAAAGGGCCAUUCUU
This 441-nucleotide ribosomal RNA is filed under the name uncultured bacterium. Its description in RNAcentral is "bacterial SSU rRNA". It matches the Rfam family "Bacterial small subunit ribosomal RNA", at positions 28 to 463 of the family's 1533-position model. The record is from RNAcentral.